RNAcentral lists this ribosomal RNA (207 nucleotides) under uncultured bacterium. RNAcentral's name for it is "partial 16S ribosomal RNA". It matches the Rfam family "Bacterial small subunit ribosomal RNA", at positions 568 to 774 of the family's 1533-position model. The record is from RNAcentral.
UGCGUAGGUGGCUAGGUAAGUCGGAUGUGAAAUCCCGGAGCUCAACCCCGGAACUGCAUUCGAUACUGCUUGGCUUGAGUACUGGAGAGGAGAUUGGAAUUUACGGUGUAGCAGUGAAAUGCGUAGAUAUCGUAAGGAAGACCGGUGGCGAAGGCGGAUCUCUGGACAGUUACUGACACUGAGGCACGAAGGCCAGGGAGGCAAACG